CGUGGACCAGUAAGUGGAUCUUUCCUCCAUAUAGAUCUAGCAAUUCCUCGAUCUUUUUGGUCAGUGGACAAACCAUGUGAGAAAGCUGAUUCGAAGACUGGGCGUCGGCCAUGGCCGUAUGUUUCUAGGUCCCCCCUCUGGGAGGAGUUCGCUGACAGUCUUGAAAAUCCAGAUCCGUCCCUCUGGCAUUAUUAACGCUAGACAAAGACAACCAUGCCGUGCCGGCGGACUCGAAUGCUGCCUCUGGAUGUGGGCAGCAAGUUGGUGGCGCCGUGCCGGAGAGGCCGACCUACGGCGUCGGGAGGCAUGUCCACGAAGUCAGCUGACAGAGUCAACCCUGAGCCGCAUGGUUGGAUGAAAAGGUAUUUCGGGUAAUUCCAUUGCUUGUGUAAUAACUGUAUAUCUCCAAAAAUGAGUGCAUGUUGAUCUCCUCAGGCAUGACUAGUUCAAUUUUGGGCGACUGCAACCUGACGAUAUGAUUUGGUUAACUGACCCUGAUACUUGGUACUGAUGAUUAAUUGUUAAAUGUGCUUAGACGUCAAAUAUGUCAGUAAUUGUCUACUGCAGCUGAAAAUUGUGUAAAGGAAUGGUUUGCUUAAAAAAGUCUGGUUACAUCUCAGUAGUGUACUACCAGACCGGACGCCAUGUCCUUCUAGGAUAAGUACACUAGAUCGAGCUUACCAAAAAUGUAAUUAGACCGUAACUCAGGCCAAGUUUUUAUUCACUAGGCGGGGCAUAUGACUUCUACAACUUGUAUUCCUGGGAGAUCAGAAUCGGAAUUCGGUAUGGCAACAGCUUUCCUUUAGAUGUUUCCAUCGGCGGUUGAAUCAUUGCAAGUGUGACGACGGGGUAACUGACAGCGGUGUCGCUGGAGCAAGAGUAGAGGUUCAGGUAUGCGUGGAAUCAUAAGUCAUUUCCUUGUACGCGAUUUCCCUGAAAACACCUACUUAACAGCGGCACAUGUGUAGUUCCCGGACACUUCGAACUUGGGGUUGCAGCAAGUGCUUGGAGCACGAAUUUGAUGCUGGAGCAAGAAGGCCAUGGCGUGGACGAGGUGAGCGGAAGUGUUACCACUGUUGUGUUGUCUGUUGAUCUCCGGACGAUUUGUUUGAAAACCAAAACCGGCUGCAUUUCCAUGGAGAGGUGAUUCAGCGGGGGGCCUCAUUCGGAUAAGAUCUGCAAGCAGGAGUUGGACAACAAGAGCGGAGAUGGUUCACUUGAAGGAUUCGGCGAGCAUGACCCAGCCGGUGGCGCGCUGGCCGACUUCCAUGGUGUUGACACUGAUAUGGACAAUGGAUCUCGCGUGAUCUGUGGUGCCGAAGAGGUUGAUUCCAGUGGAGAAGAGGUGAGCAGCAGGUAAGCGAAACGACGGCGUACACAGGCUUGUUUUGCGACGUGAGCGUAUCACCAGAGGAAAGAACUGUGUUUCCACUGCUCCCCUUGUCCAAGAUGGGCACACCAUCUUCAACAGAUUGUUGUAUUGUGCGUGCGGUGUGUUUUAGAUUGCAGAUAAAAAGAAAACCUGAUAGUGUGUUUAUAUGAUGACUAACUCUAGUUUGUCCCACUGGCGGAGUACGCGUACAGUUGCAUCUUUUUGACGGUACAUUAUUAUUUUUUCCUUAGCUCUACCCCAAAUUGUUUUUUUAUUUAGCAUUGUGAUCGGCAGUAAAAAAUAAAUGUUGCAGCGUGUGAUUAAUUUUAUGCGUAGGUGGUGCUUAGAUAGUGAGCAGAGGUAAAAUAGGGGAAAAAAGACUGCCUGUUAUUUGGUUUUGGAUUUAAAAAUUCUACUCGGCCCUGAUUAAAAAAGGUUACGGCAUUUGACGAAACUUUGGUGUGCAGCUAAAAAAACAAAGACUGUCGUGGUGGUUUGUUUUCGAUUUAAAAAUUCUGGUCACUCGUUAAUAUAUGUUGCCGCAUUUGAUUAACUUGCGAGUGGAUAGUGCUUAGAUAAGCAGCAGCGGUGUGUUAGGGGAAAAAGGAUUGCCCUGAGGGCCUGCGGCGUGGUACGGAGACGGCUCAGCGGCUCAGCCUAGCACAGAAAAAAGCUUGAGCCGUGACCCCAACUGUUCGGCCUCUAUCUUAACAGCUUUCAUUGCACUUAAUGCUUCCAUCACUGUAUUUAUUUACUUACCAUACAUCUGCUAUACAGAGAGGAAUACAUCACCCAGCACACAUCCACAUGCUAGCGGACGAUGAAGAUUUCAGGAGCAGCUUAGCCUGAGCUCAGAAACGAAUAUCCCAUGCUAAUUCCACACUUGUGCUUUAAAGUAGCACCAUAUUUUUUCAUAUAAAGAGUCUCUUAUAAUGUCAUUUUCAUAUACUAGUGAAAAUUUUUCAUUAUAGAGUUUGAUGCACACCCACUCAGUUUUCAUAUUGAGCUUUCAUACACUUAUAGCUCUUAGUGCAUUCAUUGCAUGAUAAUCCCUACUCACAUUAAUAUCAAUUAAUGGGCAUCUCCAUAGCCCGUUGGUUAGCCGCGCUGAUGUGAGACUUUCUUACUUUUUUGUCUUCUCUAUAUUUACCCCUAUCAUCGUACUCUAUUCCACCUAUAGUGCUAUAUCCAUGACUUUCGCUCAUUUAUUGCGUGCAGGUUGAAAAAGCUGAAGCGCGUUAAAAAGUAUGAACCAAUUGCUCGACUUGUCAUCGGGGUUGUGCAUGAUAAAUACUUUGUAUUAAGAAGACAGAGCAUGACAAGACUAUGAUUUUGUAGGGAUAACUUUCUUUACCGUUGAUAUUUUGAAAGACACGACUAUUUGUUGGGAUGACUGAGUAUUGAUGUCUUUAUGUCAAAUUAUAGACUGUUGCAUUGAAUUACUCGUGUCUUGACAUUCAUGCCAUGAUUUGAUAUAUGAAGACUAUGUUAGGUAGCAUUCCACAUCAAAAAUUAUCUUUUUUAUCAUUUACCUACUUGAGGACGAGCAGGAAAUAAGCUUGGGGAUGCUGAGACGUCUCCGUCAUAUCUAUAAUUUUUGACUGUUUCAUGCCAAUAUUAUACAACUUUCACAUAUUUUUGGCAACAUUUUAUAUGAUUCGUUGCUAACAUAUUGAUCCAGUGCCCAGUGCCAGUUCCUGUUUGUUGCAUGUUUUUGUUUCGCAGAAUAUCCAUAUCAAACGAAGUCCAAAUGCGACAAAAAUUUACGGAGAAUUAUUUUGGAAUAUAUGUGAUU
This 3167-nucleotide long non-coding RNA is filed under the name Triticum aestivum (bread wheat). Its description in RNAcentral is "long non-coding RNA (TAES_LNC016496)". The record is from RNAcentral. Lineage: Eukaryota; Viridiplantae; Streptophyta; Magnoliopsida; Poales; Poaceae.